UGAAUUAAACAUGCUUGGUGUCUCGCUUCGGCAAGGCCCUUGCUUAAAUCACAUCCCAACACCUGUGAACUGUAAGACGUAUGAUGAGGUCUUUGGCCAGUCAAUCGUCUGCCCAUUUUUAACAAACAAUUAAUGUAACAAACGUAGUCUUAUUAUAACCUAAUA
RNAcentral lists this unclassified non-coding RNA (165 nucleotides) under soil metagenome. RNAcentral describes it as "partial internal transcribed spacer 1". The record is from RNAcentral.